Oryzias melastigma (Indian medaka) is the source of this 732-nucleotide non-coding RNA. Lineage: Eukaryota; Metazoa; Chordata; Actinopteri; Beloniformes; Adrianichthyidae. The record is from the annotation of a RefSeq genome assembly.
AAACAUGAGUGUGAUCUGCGUCCUCAUCUGGACUCUCCUCUGCUGCUGCUUCACAGAGUCCAGAGGACAGGUCACAGUGACUCAGCCUGGAGCAGUGAGCUCCAAUGUGGGAGGAUCUGUCUCCAUCUCAUGCAGAACCAGUCAGAAUGUUUAUAACAACAACUAUUUAGCCUGGUAUCAACAGAAAGAUGGAGAAAAGCCUAAACUACUAAUUUACUAUGCUACCACUCGAGAAUCAGGGAUUCCAACUCGUUUUACAGGCAGUGGAUCAAACUCUGAUUUCACUCUGACCAUCAGUGGAGUUCAGGCUGAAGAUUCAGCAGUUUAUUACUGUCAGAGUGUUCACAACAUCAACAGUCAGUAUGUGUUCACACAGUGAAAAACAGUCGUACAAAAACCUCCCUCAUUCAGGCUGAACAGAAACUGAACUGACUGCUGCAGCUGGAAGAUGCUGCAGACACUGAUACAGUUCACUGAACAUCCAUUCUAACAAACACAAGAAUCACGUCAAGGUUACAUUAAAAAAAAGCUCCUCAAGCUUUGAGCAGCUUAAAGUUCAUUUCAAUUUAAAUCAAGACUUCUCCCACAUAAAUAAAAAAAUAAACCAAUCACCCCCUGUAAGAGCCAUUUUGACAUAUUUCUGUUUGUUUUGUUAACUUAAUUUCUAUGAAUAAUAACUUAUUUCUUGUGGCAUAAGUUUAAGUUAAGUUUAAGUUUUAUUAAUUUAUAUAG